RNAcentral lists this ribosomal RNA (253 nucleotides) under uncultured bacterium. RNAcentral's name for it is "partial 16S ribosomal RNA". It matches the Rfam family "Bacterial small subunit ribosomal RNA", at positions 524 to 776 of the family's 1533-position model. The record is from RNAcentral.
UACAGAGGGGGCAAGCGUUAUUCGGAAUUAUUGGGCGUAAAGGGCGCGUAGGCGGCCUGGCAAGUGGAAGGUGAAAUCCCUCGGCUUAACCGAGGAACUGCCCUCCAAACUGCUUGGCUUGAGUCCGGGAGAGGUGAGUGGAAUUCCCAGUGUAGCGGUGAAAUGCGUAGAUAUUGGGAGGAACACCAGUGGCGAAGGCAGCGAACUGGCGCUUUAUCGACGCUCAGGCACGAAAGCAUGGGGAUCAAACAGG